Molecule: transfer RNA, 74 nt
Filed under: Triticum aestivum (bread wheat)
Lineage: Eukaryota; Viridiplantae; Streptophyta; Magnoliopsida; Poales; Poaceae
Also listed under: 1 other name
Rfam family: tRNA
About the family: Transfer RNA (tRNA) molecules are approximately 80 nucleotides in length. Their secondary structure includes four short double-helical elements and three loops (D, anti-codon, and T loops).
Source: Rfam by way of RNAcentral
GGGAGUGUUGUCAAAUGUCAUGAAAAAUAGAUUGUUGCUCUUUUGAGAUGAGAGUUCAAUUCUCUCCAUUUCCC